UGAAAGCUCUAGAUUAUGUGUCUCCUCAAGUCCGCAGUGGAAAGCAGGAGAAAGCCUCCAGGGUUAGAAGAAUGCAGAGGGUAAGAGUGAUUUAAACGGUCAUGUUCACUUGGGAGUAAUUUACCAUUGUUUGUGUGCAGUUGAUGUGUGUGAAAUAGUUGAGAGUUCUCAGUGUAUUCCUUUUUGCUCGAGUUUGCGGAAAGGUGUGAUUGCUAGUUACCCUAAGUGAUUUUGCAGGACACGGCGUGUGAAACUUUGCCAGUACUGUUUGUUCUCCUGGUGAUUGUGUGAGAGAGUUUUCAUGUUAUACUACACGUACUAUAUUCAUAAAUGCAUACGCUCACUGGUCACUUAUAUGAACACUUCUACACUUGCUCACUCAUGCAAUUGUCUUAAUCAGCUACAGGUCAAGUGAUUCAGUUAAUGUUCACAUCAAUUUCAGUGAUUUCAAGGACUUCACAUCUCAAAAAACAAAAAGUAAUCCAGUGGAAACACCUUGUUGUUCGAGGUCAGAAGGGAAUAGCCAGACUGGUUCAAGUUGUUCGUAAUGUAACUCAAAUAACAACUCUUUACAACUGUGGUUAGCAGGAAAGCAUUUCGGACAGAUGUUGAACCUUGAGGCAAUGGACACUAAAGCUACAGUGGGCAUAAGCACACUAAAACUAAACAGUUGAAGACUUGGGGGAUGUGGACUUUACAGACUUCAACAGUCCAGCUGGUUUACACGAAGUUCAUUUUAGUAAUGGUACUAGGGGUGUAACACAGUGACACUAUCUGUAUCUGUAUUCAGAUUUUAAACUGAAGUGGGCAAGGCCUAAACUGGAAGGAUGUUUGUUUUUAUUAAAUCUGAAACUUACUAGUAUGGUCCUGGAAACAAUGCAAAAAGGCCUGAGAGCAGAACAAUGUAAAAUAAAAUGAGUUCACUCAAACCGCUGUAUUUGUUCCCUGCAUGUUUUUUUUGCAUUACACACGUACAGCAAUUCUUUCCAGGAAUCCCGUUCACCAGAGUUAUAUCUCUGUGGAAUGGUGAGUUUCAAGGUAGAGUAUCAUUCAAUAUUUACUUCCACCCACCUGUUCCACAUUGCAUAACCGGCUGCAUGCCUCAAAGGAAGACUGCUGAAUGCCUGUUGGAGCAAAGCAUUUCCAGUGUAGAGGUGUUUUUGUCCCACUGAGGGGAGUGCAAUGUGUGAUUUUCUGACCUCCCGGGCAAGUGUGUGCGAUCACCCCACCUUUAACCCCCUAGGUAUGUGGAUCCUGCAAAGAAUCUCAACUAUUAUGUAAUCAGAGAUUGUGCAAGACAGACAAUUGAAUAUAAUUUCUUUAUAUUGUAGAGUAUAAAACACCAGUAGAUUUUUGUUUCAAGAGUGGAACAUGGUAAAAUGAGCAGCCUUGUUGAAACAUUAUUCAAAUGAAAGAGAAAAAAAAUGUAGGAAUAUUGCUAUUCUGAUAUUCCGGGCAAAGUAGGGUAUCAUCAUGUAGCAAACCAGAGUGCAAUUAAGGCAAGACAAAGUGAAUGUGGUGAUGUUUUUAAAUAAUAAAAAUCAUUGUUUAUAUUCUGGUGUUCUGAGAUUUGUUGUGUUAGAAUGUUUUCAAACAUUUGCAUUUAUUUCUGCAAAUGAGGCAUUGACUUAUUA
Ictalurus punctatus (channel catfish) is the source of this 1634-nucleotide long non-coding RNA. Lineage: Eukaryota; Metazoa; Chordata; Actinopteri; Siluriformes; Ictaluridae. The record is from Ensembl.